CCACGGGUGGCUGCAGUGAGGAAUAUUGGUCAAUGGGCGCGAGCCUGAACCAGCCAAAUAGCGUGAAGUAUAACUGCCCUACGGGUUGUAAACUUCUUUUAUCAAGGAAUAAAGUUAGGCCCGUUUGCCUUUUUGUAUUUACUUUAUGAAUAAGGAUCGGCUAACUCCGUGCCAGCAGCCGCGGUAAUACGGAGGAUCCGAGCGUUAUCCGGAUUUCUUGGGUUUAAAGGGAGCGUAGAUGGGUUGUUAAGUCAGUUGUGAAAGUUUGCGGCUCAACCGUAAAAUUGCAAUUGAUACUGGCAGUCUUGAGUACAGUUGAGGUAGGCGGAAUUCGUGGUGUAGCGGUGAAAUGCUUAGAUAUCACGAAGAACUACGAUUGCGAAGGCAGCUUACUAAACUGCCACUGACAUUGAUGCUCGAAAGUGUGGGUAUCAAACAGGAUUAGAUACCCGGGUAGUC
RNAcentral lists this ribosomal RNA (459 nucleotides) under uncultured bacterium. Its description in RNAcentral is "partial 16S ribosomal RNA". It matches the Rfam family "Bacterial small subunit ribosomal RNA", at positions 339 to 795 of the family's 1533-position model. The record is from RNAcentral.